AUUGAACGCUGGCUGCAGGCUUAACACAUGCAAGUCGACCGAGUGGCGGACGGGUGAGUAAUGCUUGGGAAUCUGGCUUAUGGAGGGGGAUAACUACGGGAAACUGUAGCUAAUACCGCGUACCAUAGGAGGAGCCCAGGUGGGAUUAGGUAGUUGGUGAGGUAAAGGCUCACCAAGACGACGAGCUCUAGCUGGGCUGAGAGGAUGACCAGCCACACUGGGACUGAGACACGGCCCAGACUCCGACGGGAGGCAGCAGUGGGGAAUAUUGCGCAAUGGGGGCAACCUGACGCAGCCAUGCCGCGUUAAUGAAGAAGGCCUGCGGGUUGUAAAGUUCUUUCGGUAGCGAGGCGUUAACUACAGAAGAAGCACCGGCUAACUCCGUGCCAGCAGCCGCGGUAAUUC
RNAcentral lists this ribosomal RNA (405 nucleotides) under uncultured bacterium. RNAcentral's name for it is "partial 16S ribosomal RNA". It matches the Rfam family "Bacterial small subunit ribosomal RNA", at positions 30 to 526 of the family's 1533-position model. The record is from RNAcentral.